UACGUAGGCAGCGAGCGUUGUUCGGAGUUACUGGGCGUAAAGGGUGCGUAGGCGGUUGUUUAAGUUUGGUGUGAAAUCUCCCGGCUCAACUGGGAGGGUGGUCGCGAGACGGCAGGGCUUGAGGCUCGGUGAGGGGCGUGGAAUUCCGGGUGGAGCGGUGAAAUGCGUAGAGAUCCGGAGGAACACCGACGGCGUAGGCAGCGCCCUAGACGAGACCUGACGCUCAGGCACGAAAGCGCGGGGAGCGAACAGG
RNAcentral lists this ribosomal RNA (253 nucleotides) under uncultured bacterium. RNAcentral describes it as "partial 16S ribosomal RNA". It matches the Rfam family "Bacterial small subunit ribosomal RNA", at positions 524 to 776 of the family's 1533-position model. The record is from RNAcentral.